GCUCUGAAGAAUAAUGACAAUGUGUGUGAUGAUGUGCUGCAGGAGCUGCCCAUGUGGAGAAAAACUGCUAUAAAACAUAUUCUAACCAAAAUGUAACAACCACAAAGGCUACACCUAAAUGGGCAAAAAACAUCAUCAGCUGCUUUGAACAAAACAGUCCAGACUGCCUUCAUGGCUAUGAGGUCAAAACACGUGCAGAAAGAACAUUUUUCCUCAGACCAAACACCGAGUGGCUUAAAAGGAAAAUAAAUGAGGUGAGAAACAAAAUAUUUAUAAAAAUGUGGAAACAAAGUUUAGAAAAACCAACAGUGACAUUCUAGCAAAAGUGUGACGAUUAUACUAUAGGUAAUAAAAAGACACUGUGUAUAUCUGUCUAAUGGUGCUUUAUGUCACCUUCUCUCUUUCACCACCACAGGGAACUCUGCUGUGUCCUCCAAUGAUUUCUAAAUGAUGAUGAUGGAAACGAUGAAGUAAAGUUGACGUAAAGCAGCAACUGGAACCAUUUCUGCUGUUUUAUUUGUUCAAACUUUUACAGAAAUAUUUGUUAAGAAAUGUUGAUUAUUUUUGUAAAUUGUUCAUAUGACUUGAGUCUUAUAUAUUAUAUUUAUUAAAAAUGUCAUUAAAUAUGAAUGUUUGACCGUUUUUAUUCUGUCUUCAAUCUGAGAAGAAAGAUAAACAAUAAAAGCCUUUAAAAUCAGAUUUAUAAUGGUGUGUGUCAUUAUUUAGUAUUUGCUGUAACAACAUAUUCUCAUGAUGAUGUCACAUUCACAGGACACCGGGAGGCUGUGUUUAACACAGAUGGCAGAAGUAAAAGUAAAUAUUCA
RNAcentral lists this long non-coding RNA (824 nucleotides) under Oreochromis niloticus (Nile tilapia). Its description in RNAcentral is "lncRNA (ENSONIG00000023985.2)". Lineage: Eukaryota; Metazoa; Chordata; Actinopteri; Cichliformes; Cichlidae. The record is from RNAcentral.